CACGUAGGGUGCGAGCGUUGUCCGGAAUUAUUGGGCGUAAAGAGCUCGUAGGCGGUGUGUCGCGUCGGCCGUGAAAACCUGCAGCUUAACUGUGGGCUUGCGGUCGAUACGGGCAUCACUGGAGUUCGGCAGGGGAGACUGGAAUUCCUGGUGUAGCGGUGAAAUGCGCAGAUAUUAGGAGGAACACCGGUGGCGAAGGCGGGUCUCUGGGCCGAUACUGACGCUGAGGAGCGAAAGCGUGGGGAGCGAACAGG
This 254-nucleotide ribosomal RNA is filed under the name uncultured bacterium. RNAcentral describes it as "partial 16S ribosomal RNA". It matches the Rfam family "Bacterial small subunit ribosomal RNA", at positions 524 to 776 of the family's 1533-position model. The record is from RNAcentral.